AACGCACGAGACCUGCGGACCUGCGGAAGGAUCAUUAAAGAGUUUAACUACUCAAACCAUUGUGAACCUUACCUCAACCGUUGCUUCGGCGGGCGGGCCCGGGCCAAGCCCGGCGCCCCCCCGGCCCCUCGCGGGCGCCCGCCGGAGGUUAACCGAACCCUUGAAUUGUAUGGCCUCUCUGAGUCUUCUGUACUGAAUAAGUCAAAACUUUUAGCAACGGAUCUCUAGAUCGGAAGAGCA
RNAcentral lists this unclassified non-coding RNA (240 nucleotides) under soil metagenome. RNAcentral describes it as "partial contains 5.8S ribosomal RNA, internal transcribed spacer 2, and large subunit ribosomal RNA". The record is from RNAcentral.